GGACGAACGCUGGCGGCGUGCUUAACACAUGCAAGUCUAGGGGGCCCGCAAGGGUCACCGGCGAACGGGUGCGUAACACGUGAGCGACCUACCCUGGAAUGGGGGAUAGCCGGCCCAACGGCCGGGUAAUACCGCAUACGCUCUUCGAGCUGCAUGGCUUGGAGAGGAAACCUUUUGGGUUCCUGGAGGGGCUCGCGGCCUAUCAGCUAGUUGGUGAGGUAACGGCUCACCAAGGCAAUGACGGGUAGCUGGUCUGAGAGGAUGGCCAGCCACAUUGGGACUGAGAAACGGCCCAGACUCCUACGGGAGGCAGCAGUGGGGAAUAUUGCGCAAUGGUCGAAAGACUGACGCAGCGACGCCGCGUGGAGGAUGACGCCCUUCGGGGUGUAAACUCCUGUUGCUCGGGACGAACCUCCCCAUUCGUGGGGACUGACGGUACCGGGUGAGGAAGCACCGGCUAACUCUGUGCCAGCAGCCGCGGUAAUACAGAGGGUGCGAGCGUUGUCCGGAAUCACUGGGCGUAAAGGGCGCGUAGGCGGCUUGGUAAGCGUGCGGUGAAAGCUCGGGGCUCAACCCCGAGUCUGCCGUGCGAACUGCCGAGCUGGAGCACGGUAGAGGCACAUGGAAUUCCGGGUGUAGCGGUGGAAUGCGUAGAGAUCCGGAAGAACACCGGUGGCGAAGGCGGUGUGCUGGGCCGUAGCUGACGCUGAGGCGCGACAGCGUGGGGAGCAAACAGGAUUAGAUACCCUGGUAGUCCACGCCGUAAACGAUGGGCACUAGGCCCUUGGGGGAGCGACCCCCUGAGGACCGGCGCAAAUGCAUUAAGUGCCCCGCCUGGGGAGUACGGCCGCAAGGCUGAAACUCAAAGGAAUUGACGGGGGCCCGCACAAGCGGUGGAGCAUGUGGUUUAAUUCGACGCAACGCGAAGAACCUUACCUGGGCUUGACAUGGCCGGGAAUGGCCGGGGAAACCUGGUCAGCUCUUCGGAGCUCGGUCACAGGUGCUGCAUGGCUGUCGUCAGCUCGUGUCGUGAGAUGUUGGGUUAAGUCCCGCAACAAGCGCAACCCUUAUCAUUAGUUGCCAUCAUUUAGUUGGGCACUCUAAUGAGACUGCCGGUGACAAACCGGAGGAAGGUGGGGAUGACGUCAAGUCCUCAUGGCCCUUAUGGGUAGGGCUUCACACGUCAUACAAUGGUCGGUACAGAGGGUUGCCAACCCGCGAGGGGGAGCUAAUCUCACAAAGCCGAUCGUAGUCCGGAUCGCAGUCUGCAACUCGACUGCGUGAAGUCGGAAUCGCUAGUAAUCGUGGAUCAGCAUGUCACGGUGAAUACGUUCCCGGGUC
RNAcentral lists this ribosomal RNA (1341 nucleotides) under uncultured soil bacterium. RNAcentral's name for it is "bacterial SSU rRNA". It matches the Rfam family "Bacterial small subunit ribosomal RNA", at positions 27 to 1380 of the family's 1533-position model. The record is from RNAcentral.